Olea europaea var. sylvestris is the source of this 574-nucleotide long non-coding RNA. RefSeq lists it as uncharacterized. The transcript has 3 exons. The record is from RefSeq and is a predicted model, not a curated record. NCBI's taxonomy places the organism in Eukaryota, Viridiplantae, Streptophyta, Magnoliopsida, Lamiales, Oleaceae.
CAAAGGACCGGCCCUGGGUAGGUUAUCCUGUCCGAGUCAAAAUCUACGUAAACAUCCUCUACAAUCGUCCAAAUCACUGCUGUCUCGUAUGAAAAGCAAGAAAACUUUCACUCUCAAGAAAUCUGAGAGGCUUUCUACGCCGCCAAGGUGUUGUUUAUGCGGAACUUAGCAUGUCGCUGAUGUUCGUGAAGACCAUUAAGAUGAUAUCAUGAGAGGAAUUGGUGCCAGGAGGAGUAAAUUUCCCUAUACGUGCUUUCAAAUCAAUUGGUGGCCGGCCUAUUGUUAUUGAUUCUGUCAAGGGCUCUCACAUGUGGGAUAUCGAUGGUAAUGAGUACAUCGAUUAUGUAGGAUCGAAGGGGCCAGCCAUAAUUGGUCAUGCAGAUGAUGAAGUCCAUUUCUAGCCCUUCUUAAAAGCUAUUGCCAAUCGAGCAUGUAUAUAGCAAUAGUAAGAUGUUUCUGGAACCUUUUUAGAAUCAAUAGAGGAGUUGCAUUGAUAAGUUUGUUCUUAGGUAUGGUGGUUUCAAUGGUUAGGCCGUUUGUGUAAUUUUUUAUUAUUAUUUUUUUUUUUAAUUUA